GAUGAACGCUAGCUACAGGCUUAACACAUGCAAGUCGAGGGACCGGCGCACGGGUGAGUAACACGUAUCCAACCUACCCUUUACUCGGGGAUAGCCUUUCGAAAGAAAGAUUAAUACCCGCUAUAAAUGAUGGUGAUGCGUUCCAUUAGGUUGUUGGUGAGGUACCGUCCCCCCAAGCCUUCGAUGGAUAGGGGUUCUGAGAGGAAGGUCCCCCACAUUGGAACUGAGACACGAUCCAAACUCCUACGGGAGGCAGCAGUGAGGAAUAUUGGUCAAUGGGCGCUAGCCUGAACCAGCCAAGUAGCGUGAAGGAUGAAGGCUUAUGGGUCGUAAACUUCUUUUAUAUAAGAAUAUGUAUUAUAUGAAUAAGGAUCGGCUAACUCCGGGCCAGCAGCCGCGGUAAUUC
Molecule: ribosomal RNA, 406 nt
Filed under: uncultured bacterium
Lineage: Bacteria
Description: partial 16S ribosomal RNA
Rfam family: Bacterial small subunit ribosomal RNA
Source: RNAcentral